Molecule: unclassified non-coding RNA, 3025 nt
Filed under: Leishmania donovani
Lineage: Eukaryota; Euglenozoa; Kinetoplastea; Trypanosomatida; Trypanosomatidae
Description: gene:LdHU3.13.1830(CDS-product:ubiquitin-conjugat ing_enzyme_putative)
Source: RNAcentral
CAGCUCGGCUUUGCAACAUCUCUUUUCUUUCCGCCACUUAGACCUUACGCCCGAUUCCAUCCCUUACCCGACUCGAUCCUUCGUUCUCAGAGUUCUCUCUCGGAGUAACGUGGCUUUCUUGCAGGUUCCUCUCGUGUGCGUGUUACGACACCCCUCCACUGCCUCCCUCCUCUGCGGCUUCGGUCAUUUUGGCUGCCGUGCGCUCUUGUUGCUGCACUGGUGCGAGCUCUUCUCCCUCGGUGGCCUUUUCCUCAGACAACAUAUUCACUUGCAGUUGGCCCGCAAGCCUACGACGAUGGUCGAGGUGCCGCGUAACUUUCGCCUGCUGGAGGAGCUAGAGACCGGCGAGAAGGGCACAGGAAGCAACCAAAACGUCUCUGUGGGUCUGCGUGACACGGCUGACAUCUUCUUCCACUACUGGAACGGCACCAUUGUAGGCCCCCCUAGCACCGCCUUCGAGUACCGCAUUCUGUCGCUUGAGAUUUACUGCGAUGAGAACUACCCGAAAGUGCCGCCGCACAUCCGCUUCCUCAGCAAGGUGAACCUGCCCUGCGUCGACCCCGAUGGUACGGUGAAUCGCGAGAAGUUCCACGUCUUCAAGAGCUGGGACCGCCGAACAACGAUGGAAAUGUGCCUGUCGGAGCUUCGGAAGGAGAUGGCGCAGCCACAGAACCGCAAGCUGGUGCAGCCACCGGAAGGGUCUAUGUACUAAGAGUGUGCCUGCCGGCGGGUGUAAUAGUGCGAGGCGGCGCCACUGUUCAUUGUCUCUGUGCUUUUCCGUAUCUGCGAAACCGUGAGCUGCGCUCUCACCACCUCCGCAGACACACACGCUCAUUCGCAAGCACUCUUCAGCGAAUGCACAGCAGAAAAAUAGCUAGCGUUCGCUCAGCAGCGUCGGCGGAGCGCCGCGGGCCGCAUCCCGCUCGUCCGAAACCUUCCCCCUCUUUACAUCAUCCCGUGAUGGUCGUGUGUGCCUCUGGGGUCUUCUCCGCCUCCGUGAUUCUUUGAGUUCUCUACUUGCGAGAAAGUUGGCACCAUCGCAGGAGGUGGGCACCACUGUGGCGCUGUUCUCUUGCCUUCGAUGCCAGUCCUUUGCGGCGUUGAUGGGAGAAGGUGGGGAGCAUCGACUGAGCGGGAGCGGAGUAAGGAAAUAGUGGAUGAACAAGAAGAAAAAUGCAGUGAGAACGAACGACAGCGCGCAGACGCGGUGGUGUGUGGAGAGGGAAAGACAAUCAGCAGAGAUAUGAAGACAGAGACGGGCGCACUCCUCCCCCCUCCCCCUCCCCGCAUGAUGACCAGUGGCACCACGUGCCUGCACUCUCGGGCCCAAUCGCUCUGCAACGACCGCUAACAAAAUGAAGGGCAGCGACGUUAGGGCGUGGGGGGGUGCCGAUGUCUCCAGCUCUGUGCCGUUCUGUGCCUUUUGCUUGUGCGCCCAACACCCACACCCACAUCUAUAUGUAUAUGCACAUAUAUAUACACCCGCCCACUCACCCGCAUAUAUAUAUAUAUAUAUAUACACGGACGCUUUUCCCCCCUUCGUGUUCAUCUGUUCUUUGUUUUUCUUCAGUGUGUUUGUGUGUGUGUGUGCGUGUGCUUGUGUGCAUGUAUCUCUGUAUUUACAGUUUGUCUGCCACAUGCCGUGUCAUCGCGGUGGCUUGGGCUUCUCCCAAGUCUGACAUAGCGCUUCUCUCCUCCCCUCGCUUAUGUUUUCCAUGAAAAUAUGCGCAAGAGGAGGAUGCGUGGGCCGAAUUCUCUCCCGUCGACGUGCUGUGUGUCUUUUCUUUUUUUUUUUCGUGUUGUUGCUUUGUGUGCCCCCGCAGGGCUCUCUUCUCCUCUGUCUCUCGAUACGCACACCUCGUUCUGCCUCUUCACUGCUGGCCAGAGCCCGUCUCUUCUCUCUUGUGGUUGCCUUGCGUGAGCAGCGGAGCUUGCCACGUACGGCAGAAAGCGGCCACCAACAUUACUAGUGAAGACGAGGAGGAGGUGUCGCUAUAAGCAGGGCGCUGUACUAUGCUGAACUCUGCAUGCUUGAUGCUGCUUGGGUGUAUGCACAUGUGCAAGCUAUGGUCUCUUUGUGCGCCGGCACAUGUUUUUGCACGGGCCCUUUCCACUUGAAACACCCAUUCCUGCCAAGGGCGUGUGGGCUCAAGAGGUGGAGUACCCCACGCCGCCACAGACUCAUGGCAGCGUCCAACCUGCCGAGGCACAUGCGGGGAAGCCAUCCAGGCGCACGCCCCUCAUGACCUCGGCGGACGUGGAAGAUGGAGACGGCGUCCUCCGCACCCCCAGACAACAGCGCCGUCCUGAAGCUGGCCGCGUGAGGCGCAAAAUGCGAGCACCGCGCGCGCGCUGCCAAGCACAGCUUGCAUGGUGCCUCACGCCCAGACAAGGCAUCGAGAGGUGAGAGGAGCACGAAUGAUGGACGGAAAAGACGCGAAGAGAUCCACACCAAUCAGCCCAAAGGUGCAUGUGAGCGAAAUACGCGGCAUCUCCCACGUCCGACCGGGUGGGCUGAUGAGGCACAGGCGCCGGAAGCGUGACGAGAGCAUGCCGAAUGGCGCCAGCGAGUCCUCCAGAUUCCCGUGUGGCGAGCCGCCGCGCCAUAUUAUGGGGUGCCGCGGCUUGGGGCGACUGAGGGCGGAGGCGUGGCAUGCAGGCAGGGCGCAGGGGCUCAGAGGGCCCUUACCGGCGCCUGGCCAGCUUCCCCCUUGAACUCAUCCGGCAUGCGCCCGGACCACCCGCUAUUGCCCGCGCGACAGACACCACCGCUUCCGCCCCCUCCCCCCCUGGAGCAGGGCCCUGAAGGCGGCCCACUCGGAUCGAGGCGUGCCCGCGAGGCACAUGACCUCGAUUUGGCGGCAGACGGCUCGUCCUGGGCGGCCAGGAGAUUCAGCCGCAGUGCAGCAGAGACAGGUGAGCUGUGGUUGUGUGUAUGCGUCUAUUGGUUGGCACGUUCGUAGUAGAACGACACGCUGAAGAAAAAAUGAUGUUGGGGUCUCUGCACAUACAUAUAUAUGCUUUG